CUCGUGAUCCGCCUGCCUUGGCCUCCCAAAAUGCUGGGAUUACAGGCGUGAGCCACUGCUCCCAGCCUGGAAACAUAAAGUUCUUAUAGAGAAAGAGACACUCAAGAGCUCUCUCUCUCUCCCCACAUGCACAGAGGAAAGGCCAUACAAGGGCAGAGAGAGAAGAUGGCCAGCUAUAAGCCAGGAAGAGAGCCUUCACCAGAAACCAAAUUGGUUCGCAUCUUGAUCAUGGACUUCUAGCCUCCAGAGCUGUGGGCAAAUAAGUGUCUGUUGUUUAAGCCACUCAAUCUGUGGUAUUUUGUUAUGGCAGCCUAAUCAGAGUGGGGUGGGGGAAUCUAUAGAGCUAAGAUAGUCAAACUGUAAGGCUGAUGUGUGGAAUGGUUCACCUAUAUGAAUGAUAAAAAUGCCCAUGAAGGCCGGGCAUGGUGGCUCACAUCUGUAAUCCUAGCACUUUGGGAGGCCAAGGAGGGUGGAUCACCUGAGAUCAGGAGUUCAGGACCAACCUGGCCAACAUGGUGAAACCCUGUCUCCACUAAAAAUACAAAAAAUUAGCCGGGUGUGGUGGUGCAUGCCUGUAAUCCCAGCUACUCUGGAGGCUGAGGCAGGAGAAUUGCUUGAACCCAGGAGGUGAAGGUUGCAGUGAGCCGAGAUCGUGCUACUGCACUCGAGCCUGGGUGACAGAGCCAGACUCCAUCUCAAACAAAACAAAACAAAACAAACAAAACGAAACUACCCAUGAAGAUGAUUAUAAAAUGAAUCACAAUGUUAGCUAAACUUACUGGGCACUUGUGGGCCAGGAAAUCAAAGUACUUUAAAUGCAUUAACUCCUCUACCAGUCCCAUGAUAUAGGUGCUACUAUUUCUUACCCACUACACGUGUGAAAGCACUGAGGCAGAGAGAAGUGAAGUAGCGUAUCUAAAGUCACAGAGCUAGUCCGAGGUGGGGCUCGAACCACACACAUAGGCUGGAGAGCCCACACCCUUAACCACUUUUCUGUAUUGGGAUGUGGGAAAUGUUACAAAUCAAGGGCCAAAGAAAGGAUGUACUCAGAGAGGUGAAAGAAGAAAGGUUUCCCAAAGUAAUCGGUCAGAUCAGCUGACAACUCUGGAUGCUCAGUGGGUGAGAGAUGUCAGAAGAUGAUCUCCUUUCCUCACAUCCAGAGGGAGAUGAAAACCUGUGGUGUGAGUUUUAAGGGAUAUAGGAUUUUUGUAUGGGAGUGGAAGAGAAAUAGUGUGGCAGUAAGAAUGGGGUACUGAGCUCUGUGGCUAUGUUCAUACCUAGCAAGCUGCAUCCACCUGAAAAGGUUGUGAUGUGGCAGAAGGUCCGUGUUAAAAGUAGGUGCUGGCUAGAGAGGGUGCCUUCAGGAUCUGCUGCUGCCUGCAGAACUGGAAUUUCCUCCUGACCCACCUCUCAGGGAUGGCCUGAGUCUCCAGCCCUCACCAAUUCUUAGGAAAAGAUGAAGUUGUUCUUAGUUGUAGCAGUCUAGAUCAAAUCAAGUGAUGUAAAACACAGUAGCUUAAGCAGAAGCUUAAUAUGAGAAUUAUUAAAUAUGAUAAAAAGAGGCUGGGCACGGUGGCUUGCACCUGUAAUCCCAGCACUUUGGCAGGCCGAGGUGGGUGGAUCACUUGAGGUCAGGAGUUCGAGACCAGCCUGGCCAACAUGGUGAAACUCCGUCCCUACAAAAACUACAAAAAUUAGCUGGGAGGCGCAUGCCUCUUGUCCCAGUUACUGGGGAUGCUGAGAGAGGAGAAUCGCUUGAACGCAGGAGGCGAUGAGCUGAGAUUGUGUCACUGCACUCCAGCCUGGGCGACAGAGUGAAAAAAAAAAAAAAAAGAAUCACUAUAAGAUAUAAGGAAACUAUAUAGUACCCUAGGGCUGAGAGAGAGUACCCAAGAAAAAAUUAAAUUGGAAAGGUUUCAGAUGUGAUUGAAGAACAUGUGAUUUAGUCCACCUGACAGGAGAAAUGUAUACUGGCUUUCCCAGUCUGAAGCUGGUCUGGAGUUGCUGAGUGAGCAACAGGCCACCUUCUGAAAUGCAAGUACAGGAGCAGGCAAUUAGCAACUGGUGGCAAAGGCAUGCAGUGGGAGUCUGGGCACUGACAGGCAGGAGGGCUUCAGAGAAUGUGGCAUUCUCUGAAAUUUACAAAAUUUGCUCCUCAUCUCAUCAUCUUCUGAGGGCCAGGAUUGGGGAAUUCAUGUGGACAUCCUAGAGAUAUUUUGUGAUAAAAAUGUGAGAGUGUGGAAUCUUGCACUGCUCACGAAUGGGUUGCACCUUACAAGGGGUCAACAAGAUUUCCAAUGGAGAUGAUUUGAUCAUGAGAGGAAAAUCCAAGGACCAACAUUUCCAAAUGGGAGGGGACACAGUCUUAAUUUUGGCAUUCCUCCUUUAUGGCUCUCUGAUAGUCCCCUGCCACCCUCCCUGUUUGUUAUGGGGUUAAGUGAUGGAAGCAGGGACAGACCAGGAGGGGGCUGUGCUCUGUGAACAAAGGCACAACCUUGUAAAUUUAAAUAAAAUAAAACCAACUCUGAGUCCCCAUCCUGUUGGAUGAGAGGGGAAUUGUACUGUAGGGCUUUCUCCUUCAACCCUUCUUUGCCUCAGAAUGGUAUAAAGGUUCCAGGGGCUUUAUGAAGAAUAAAAUAUUUGAGGAGGAUUAUGAGGGUUUUGGCUACUGUUGAGUGCUGUGGGGUUUUUUUUCUCUCUCUUUUCCUUUUUAAUAAGUAGAUAAAUGGGGGAAGAAAAGGCUAAACUAAUAAGAAAGAAUAAAGUGUUUCACAAUUGUUUUGAGGGUAUUUCUCAUAGUCUAUUUGCCUAGAAAGCAGAACCCAAGGUAAAAGUUUAUGGUGUAACUAAUAAACUGAAUUCAACAACACCUUAAAAGGAUCUUACACCAUGAACAAGUGGGAUUUAUUCCAAGCAUGUAAGAAUGGUUUAACAUAUGCAAAUUGAUAAAUGUGAUACACCAUAUUAACAAAAUGAAGGAUAAAAAUCAUAUGAUCAUCUAAAUAGAGACAGCAAAAACAUUUGACAAAAUUCAGCAUCCUUUUAUGAUAAAAACGUUCAAUAAAGGAGAUAUAGAAGAAAUAUGCCUCAACAUAAUAAAGGCCAUAUAUGACAACCCCACAGCUAACACCAUACACAACAGUAAAAAGCUGAAAGCCUUUCCUCUAAGAUCAGGAAAAAGAUAAUGAUGCCCACUUUGGUCACAUCUUCUUUAAUGUAGUAUUGAAGGCCUAACCAGAGCAAUUAGGCAAGAAAAAGAAAUAAAAGGCAUCCAAAUUGGAAAAGAAAAACUAAAAUUUUCUCUGCUUGCAGAUGGCAUGAUCUUAUAUAUAGAAAACCCAGAAAAGCUCUACCCCCAAGCUACUAGAACUAAUAAACAAAUUAAGUAAAGUGGCAGAAUACAAAAUUAACAUACAAAAAAUUAGUAGCUAUACAUGAACUAUACAUUAGUUUCUAUACACUAACAAGGAACUAGCCCUUGAAAGAAAUUAAAAAAAUGAUUCCAUUUAUAAGAGCAUAAAAAAACUUUGGAAUAAAUUUAACCAAGCAGGUGAAAGCUCUAUACAUUGAAAACUAUAAAGAACUGAUGACAGAAAUCCAAGAAGUCACAAAUAAAUGGAAAAAUAUCCUAUGUUCAUGAAUUGGAAGAAUUAAUAUUGUUCAGGUGUCUAUAUUACCCAAAGCAAUCUACAGAUUUAAUGCAAUCCCUAUCAAAGUUCUAAUGACAUUUUUUCACAGAAAUAGAAAAAACAAUACUAAAGUUUAUACGGAGCCACGAAAAGCCAAGAGUAGCCAAAGCAAUCUUGAACAUAAAGAACAAAAGUGGAAGCAUCACACUACUUGAUUUCAAAAUAUACAACAAAGCUAUAGUAAUCAAAAAAGCAUGUUACUGGCAUAAAAACAGAUGCAUAAGUCAGUGGAAUAGAACAGAAAGCCAAGCACAGAAAUAAACUCACAUGAUUAUGAUUCAUUAAUCUUUGACAAAGGUGUCAGGAACACACAUGGGGAAAGGAUAGUUUCUUCAAUAAAUGGUUUUGGGAAAACUGGAUCUCCCCAUGCAGAAGAAUGAAACUGGACCCUUAUCUCAUACCAUUUACAAAAUUCAAUUCGAAGUGGAUUAAGACUUAAACAUAAGACCCCAAACUGUAAAACUAGUAGAAAAAAAAUAGGACUUCUUGAUAUUGGUCUUAGAAAUGAUUUUUUGGAUGUGAUUACAUCCAAAUGGGAUUACUUCAAACUAAAAAGCUGCUUCUGUGCAGGAAAUGAAACAAUCAACUAAGUGAAGAGACAACCUAUGAAUGGGAGAAGAUAUUUGUAAGCCAUGCAUCUGAUAAGGGGUUAAUAUCGAAAAUACUUAAGGAACUUACACAAUUCAAUAGCAAAGAAACAAAUAACCUGAUUAAAAAUGGGCAAAGGACCCAAAUAAACAUUUUUCCAAAGAAAACAUAAAAAUGGCCAACAGUUAUAUGAGAAGGUGCUCAAUGUCACUAAGCAUCAGAGAAACGCAAAUCAAAAUGACAAUGGGAUAUCACCUCAAACAUGUUAGAAUGGCUGUUAUCAAAAAGACAAAAGAUAGCAAGUCUUGAUGAGAAUGUGGAGAAAAGGGAACCCGUGUACACAGUUGGUUGCAAAGCAAAUUAGUACAGCUAUUAUGAAAAACAGUAUGGAAGUGCCUCAAAAUUUAAACAUAUAAUACCAUAUGGUCCAGCAAUCCCACUUCUAUGGUAUUUCAAAGGAAAUGAAAUCAGUAUCUCAGUGAGAUAUCUGUGCUUCCAUAUUUAUUGCAGCAUUACUCACAAUAACCAAGAUGUGGAAUCAGCCUAAGUGUCCAUCAAUGGAUGAAUGGAUUAAGAAACUGUGUACAUGUAUACCUACAGCGGAAUAUUCUUCAGCCUUAAAAAAGACGACAAUUCUGCUAUUGUGACAAUAUGAAUGAACCUGGAGGACAUUAAGCUAAGUUAAAUAAGCCAGGCACAGAAAGACAAAUGCUGCAUGAUCUCAUGGUUAGGUAGAAUCUAAAAAAGUCAAACUUAUAGAAGCAAAGAGUAGAAUGGUGGUUUCCAGGGGCUGGGAGUUGGGAGAAAUGCAGAGAUGUUGGUCAAGGGUACAAAGUUUUAGUUAGGCAGGAUGAAUAGUUCUGGAGGUCUAAUGCAUAGUACAGUGACUCUAGUAACCAAUGCUGGAUUGUAUACUUGAAAUUUGCUGAAAGAGUAAUCUUAAAUGUUGCUACACACAAUAAUAACUAAGAUAACGUAUAUGUUAAUUAGCGUGAUAGUGGUGGUAAUCAUUCCACAAUGUAUAUACAUAUCAAAGCAUCACAUUUUAUCCCUUAAAUAUAUAUAGUUUUAUUUAUUUAUUUAUUUUUUGAGACAGGGUCUUGCUCUAUUGCCAGCUAUGCUGGAGAGCAGUGGUAUGAUCAUGACUCAUUGCAGCCUCGACCUUCUGGACUCAAGUGAUCCUCCUGCCUCAGCCUUCUGAGUAGCUGGGACUACAGGCACCCAUCACGAACUGGCUCAUUUUUAAAUUUUUUGUAGAGAUGAAGUCGUCUAUAUUGCACAGUCUGGUCUCAAAUUCCGGGCCUCAAGUGAUCCUCCCACCUUGGCCUCCCAAUGUAUUGGGAUUACAGGCAUGAGCCCCUGCACCUAGCCUACACAUAAUUUUUAUUUGUUAAUUUUACCUAAAUAAAGCUGGAGAAGAAAAGCUUAUGGCUUUAUAUUUUGUUUAGGAAUGCAGACCAGUGGUGUCCUAGAGCUAGCUUGAACUGCCUCACAAAAGCUGAUCAUUUAAUUUUCAGAGACUGUUGUUAAACACAGCCAUUUAAUUUUUAAUAAUUAAAUUACAUAAACGUACAAUUAGAAGAAAUUAUAUUAAAAACAAAAGCAAUAAAUACCCAAAACUCAUGACUCCCUAAUUAUUUGACUAUAUUUUUCUAUUAUCUAUGCUUUUGAGGUUAUUUACAUUUAUUAUGGAUAUACCAAAAAAAUGUAGUAUCAGAGCAACUCCACUUCCAGUAACAUUAUGUUGUUAGGUUGAAAUCAGACAUUUUGGGAGUACUGUACAUCACAGAUAGAGGCAAAGGCUACAAAUCAGGGCUUGAUUUGUCUUGUUGAUUGUAUAGAGUUAAGAAAGUAAAGAAGAAAAUGUUAAUAUUACAAAUUAAACUUAAAAGCAUGUCAUGUUUGGAGCCGUUAUGUUAGGAAUACUACGUAAAAUGGAAAUGUUCUUCCGGAAUGUGAAAACUGUUGUCCAAUACAACAAAGAAAUUGUUCAUGCCAUGACGAUUACAGUUCAGUCACAUGUCUUUGUACUUUCCCUUUCAUCUUACUUAUUAAUUUAAACGAAAAUAUCAGCCAACAUUUACAUUGGAACUACACUUGAGAGCCAGAUAUUAAAUAUUCACCAGCACAUUACUGGCACAGGCCCCAGGGGCCAGGAGUGAGGGAAAAAGGAAGUGAGGUAGGGAAAGAAACAGUGCAAAUAUAAGGAGGUGUGGGUUCACAUCCAAAGGAAUUGAAAACAGGAUCACAAAGAGUUAUUUGCACACCCGUGUUCAUUGCAGCAUUAUUCACAACAGCCAAGAGAUGGAAGCAACCUACAGGUCCAUUGAUGGAAAAAUGAAUAAAGAAAAUGUGCUAUAUAUACAGGAUGGAAUACUAUUCAGCCUUAAAAAAGAAGAAAAUUAUGUGAUAGGCAAAAACACAGAUGAACCCUUGAGAACGUUAAGGACACUGGCUAAGUGAAAUAAGCCAAUCACAAAGACAGAUACAUACAGCAUGAUUCCACUUACUUGAGGUAUCUAAAGUAGUCAAACAGAAGUGGAAACAGAAAGCAGAAUGGUGGUUGCCAGGAACUGUAGGGAGGGGGAUAGAGGAGUUGCUGUUCAGUGGGAACAGAGUUUCAGUUCUGCAAGAUGCAAAAGUCCUAGAGAUCUGUUGCACAAUGAUGUGCGCAUAGAUGACACUGAUGUAUUGUAAACAUUUACAAAUAAGAUGGCAAAUUUUAUGCCACUUAACUAUAUGUAUUAUAUAUAUUUUUAUACAUGUAUUAUAUGCAUUUUACUACAUAACAUACAGAAAAGAGGAAAAAAGAAAAGAAAUAUAAGGAGGCAUAUUAUUGAUCUGGUCUCAGAGUCUUAAGGGCAGCUAAUUGUGUGGUUUUGUAGUAUACCUUCCGAGUUUCCAAAUAGUCCACCUGGAGAAGAAAGGGAAAAGAAGUUAUCUCCCAGCUCCAACCCCACUUUGUCUACCAGUGAUCAAAGUCACUCUAGGGGGUGUAACCUCACCGUACCCCUGGCUACGUCACCAGAAGUUGGCAGGUUUGCAGGUGCAGCAAUCUUUCUUAGUCUGCUCUGUGCAUGGGGCUUCUCAACCUGUGGCUGUGGUGGCAGCAGCAGUGACCUGGCUCCAUGAUCAUAAGCUACUUCUAGGGCCAGAAAGCAAGGCAUGUGCAUAGACCUGAGUGGCAUAGAUACUGAGCCUAGUACAGUGAUUCCCUGGGUUCUACAUUUAAGCUGAAAUCAGGAAAGGAGUUUUAUGAGGACACUGUUGUUUGUCACCAGAAAUAGGGAGGAAAACAGAAUUGCAAAUUGGCAUGUAAGAGUUUUAUUUAUUUAUUUAUUUAUUUAUUUUGAGGCAAAGUCUCGCUCUUGCCUCCCAGGCUGGAUUACAAUGGCGUGAUCUCAGCUCACUGCAACCUCCGCCUCCUGGGUUCAAGCAAUUCUCCUGCCUCAGUCUCCCUAGUAGCUGGGAUUACAGGCGCCUGCCAUGAAGCCCAGCUAAUUUUUGUAUUUUUAGUAGAGACGGAGUUUCACCAUGUUGGCCAGGCUGGUCUCGAACUCCUGACCUCAGGUGAUCUGCCCGCCUUGGCCUCCCAAAGUGCUGGGAUUACAGGUGUGAGCCACCGUGCCUGGCAGCAUAUAAGGGUUUUAGUUGAGGAAGCCAUUUGUCAAAAAUGCAGACAGGUGACAAUGACCUAGGUAAUAUAUUUUCUGCAGAGGAAAAGCAUUUUCAUAGUAUCUACUCAGAGUUCCAUACAGCAAAAUAAAGGCCAGUACUAUUGGUGACUGUUGUACUGUGGCUGUAGUAAGUAGUUUAUAAAACUCAGCUAACGAAUGGGAGAAAGCUACAUUUAUUAAAAGAUCAUGAUAUUGAUAAGAAUGCAUUUUAAUUUUCAAGGUAUCAUUUCAGAGAGUGAAUUUAUCUGCAUAAAGAGCUGACUGGAACGUAGAUUUUAUUAUUCUCCACUAUUGGGAAAUUGGCAAUGACAAGUAGGGUCAAAUCCCCUUUAUUUAUAUUGCAUUUAUGUUGUGCUUUGGAGAACAGAUUGUCACAUUAAUUAAGCUGAACAAAUUCUUGUGAAGAGGACUUACUUUUAUUAGCGAGCACUUAUUAAUCACAAGGCUUUCCUUUCAUCUAAUCAGUUGUUACAACUACUCUCCUGGUGAAGCAGUUUUUAUUUCCCUUCCUAUUCAGCAGUGAAGAAAUUGACUCAAGGUCAUCCAGAUAGAACUACACAGAGGAGACAUGACAUUUUUCUUAACAACGGUUUAGGAUCUUGUAGCAAGGGUACUCCCUAGAAGAGGAAAGCAAUUAUUAAGACAAUAAAAUUGUCAUGAAGGUGCAAUUUGUCUCCUCUGUGCUUUCUGUUCCCCAGUCCAUCUCAACUCCCUAAAGUUUGAAUCCCUUUAGCAACACCCUCAGGGACCUCUGACGUCUCCUCACUUUACCAUCCUCAGCCCUUGCUCCCACGCACGUAGCUUGACUAUCUCUGGACAGCGUCCACGGUCAGACACAACCUGUGCUCCUUCUUUGUUGCACAUCUCUGAUGAUGACAGUAUAGUAGGUCAUGGGUUAACCCUAGAAAAAAGUCCCUUUUAUAUCUCUCAGAAAGCAAAUUAGUCCAUAAGUAACUCCAGGCACGUUCUCAAGCCUGGGUGAGAUAUUUAUGGCUGGUUGAAGAGAAGAACAUCCAAUGCCCCUAUAAUGGCUGCCAGGGCACUCCCCAUCCCAUCGCUCUCCGCUGCUGUCUUAUCCCCUCGCCUUUACCACUUUACUGCACCCUGGUCUGACAUCUGACUGCCAGCGCCUGCAUUUCCGAAAUUGUGGGUUUUUCCCGUGGGAGCUGCAGGCCAGCAGCGCCCCUACCCUCAGCAGCCUUCCACUGAUUGACAGAAGUCGGUGUAUGUGAAUACCCCAACCGCUCACCCUGGGGGUGGGACAACCCUGAGGCCCACGCUCUACACUGGUCUCAGAGUUCCACAGCAGAAUCAAGCUCCAGUUGCUUAUGUAUUAGCUUGCUUGAUAAUAAUCCUUUCACUGACUUCCUUCCUUGCUCAUCUCACUUCCCUACUCGCCUAAUGGUGCUAUCUGGGAUUGCCUCCCCAAUAAAAUACUUUGCUUGGGGAUUCUUGCCUCAAGAUUGGCCUCUGGAAGGAACCCAAAUAAGCAGACUCCAAAAUUGUAGGACAAAUUUGAACUGAAUAUAAGACCAACCUUUACUUUCAAAAGAGCCCUGGAAGAUGGGGUAUGAAGUUUGGCUGAGCUCUUUCUAUGCUUGUUGCAUGACUUUGAUUUGCCUGGAGCUGAAGGGACUCUGGAUGUUCCAGUUCUCCACACCUCAUUAGUUUUUCAAAGUUGUUUCACAAAGCCAGUAGUUCUCUAUUUUUAUCUAUGUUAGCUCUUUUUGAGAUAAAGUUUAAUUAAUGUAUUAGAUUCUGUGAGAGAAGCAAUGAGCCUGAAAUUUAAUGAGUUAAUCUUUUUUCUCCCUUUCUUUUCUCUAAUAAUGGGAGCAUGUUGGCAUUUGGCUAAGUUCCAUACAGUUUGAUAUGUAGUUGUAAAUACAAAAAUAGAUGAACUAAGUACCUAGCUCCCCAAGUUAGAAGAGAUGAUGGCAAAAUACAUUUAAGGAAAGUAGGAGGAAAACACAAUAAAUAUAAAAACAGUGAUUAUUGAAUUAACACCCACAAAAAGUAUAGCAUUGAUAAAUCAAAGAGUAGGCUCUUAAAAAAAGCAAUAAGUUAUAUAAACUUCUGGCAAGUCUGUUCAGGAGAAAAAAGAGAACACAAGCAGAUUUACCUAUAUACUGUACAUCACAUUAAUGAAUCAAAGGAUGCCUUUUUAUCACAGCUGUUUUUCAGCAUUGUUUAGGAAAUUAUGCAGAAUUACCCUAACUUCAAUCCAGUAGCACAGGUUUUCCAAGCAGUGGUGGCUGUGGAAGGUCUGGGUAGGAAAGGAUAAGAGAACACAGGCUGUGGCAUGGGGGUGUUGGAGACAGGACUGCCAUUGUCCUGAGGCAUAUUAGUGGAUGUUUUGCAUAUUAGUGGAUGUAUAAUAGUGAUGAAAGGUUGAAUAAGUUUAGCUAGGAUUCUUUAUCACAUGACUUUUCAAAGCCCUCAACACUCCAAUGUAAGCAGAGAACCUACGAGAGGGAGAUAAAGGAUCCAGCAUUUUUCAAAUUCAUGGAAUGCUAGGGCCCUGUGGACUGUGGAUUACACAACACUGUGCUAGGGGCUGUGGUGAAGCAAGAACUGAAAAGCAGCACAAAAAGAACUAUAAAUUUAUUUACAAAAAUAGAUCAUUAAUUUUGUUUGCUAGAGAAUAUGAUCGUUUCUCUAGGAAGUGUAAGAAAAUUAAUUGAAAACCUAUAUGACCAGCUACAACAUAACUAUGUACAAAGUAAUAGCUUUUCAACAUGCCAACAAACACCAGGUACAAAUAAAAUAGAAAAAAAAUUAUAUUUAAAUACCAUGAAACUAUAAAAUACUUAGGAAUAAAAUUGACAAGAAAUACACUGGAUCUAUAUGAAGAAAGUCAAAAAGUGUUCCUGAAAACCAUAAAACAACAAAUGGGGAGCUUUUUCUAUGUUUUGAAGAUGUUGGUUUCCCAAAUUAAUCUGUGGAUAUCAUAUAGACACAAUUAGAAUAGUGAUAGAAAUUUAAAAGGAAUUUAAACAAUUAUCUAAAGUUAACUAAAAGCUUUCUACUUUCGUGUUGCAUUUUUGAAAUAAAAAUUCGUAUUUAUUAUUUUUGCAAUGAGAUAAAAAUUAUUAAAACAUGAGAAAUACUCUUAAAAUAUUUAAGCAAGAAGUAAUAUAGGAAGGACUUACCUUACUAGAUGUGAAUAUAAUAUAUGAAAAGACUAUAAAAAUGUAACAAAGUUUCAUGGUACUGAAUUAAGACCAUGUGAUAAAGAAUAGACGCACACUCUAGAAGACUAAAUAGCUUAAAAUGUAGCAAAUGAGUCAUCACAAAUCUAUUCCAAAGACAUGAAUUGUUUAAUAACUGGUGUUGAGAAAAUUGGCUAUUUUCAAAAGCAGUUAACUUAGAACCUCACUUAGAAGUGUAUGCAAAGCUUUAAAAAAAACUUGAAAAAAACCAGCAAGGAAGAGAUUAUGUAUUUAAUCUCUAAAUAGGUAAAAAAAAAUCCCCCAGUAGAAAACAGAAGGAAUUACAAAGAAAAAACACGUAGAAUUGAUUACAUAAAGUUUUAAAUUUUCCACUCUUCAAAAACGAUGUAAAAAUGAGAAGGAAAACAACAAAUGGGGAUUAUAAGUUUUAAUCAUUUAAGCCCUCAUAAAAAUGAUUUAAAAAAUUCUGAGAUCUCAAUGAACAAAGAACAAGAAGAUGGAAAAUUCAGAAAGGAGAAAUUAUAAAUGACUAAUACAUAUAUUGUAAAGCUUUAUUCACUUUUUAUUAGAGACAGGGGGAGUAGAGGGAGCAAGGAUUUGCUAUAUUGCCCGGGAUGGUUUCGAACUCCUGGCUGCAAGUGAUCCUCCUGCCUCUGCCUCCCAAAGUGCUGGGAUUACAGGUGUGAAUGACUGGGGCUGGCCCUAAAACAUUUUAUAUAUCGCCUGUAUUCCCAGCACUUUGGGAGGCCAAGGUGGGGGGAUCACCUGAGGUCAGGAGUUUGAGACCAGCCUGGCCAACAUGGUGAAACACCAUCUCUACUAAAAAUACAAAAAUUAGUUGGGUGUGGUGGUAGAUGCCUGUAAAUCCAGCUACACAGGAGGCUGAGGCAGGAGAAUCGCUUGAACCCAGGAGGCAAAGGUUGCAGUGAGCCGAGAUCACGCCAUUGCACUCCAGACUGGGCGCCAAGAGUGAAACUCAGACUCAAAAACAAAAGAAAAGAAAAGAAAAACAAAACGAAACACAUUUUAUAUAUCAACUUUAGUGUUAAUCAAAGAAAUGCACAAUAAAGCACAGUGGAUUGCCAAGUCUGGUUGAAAAUUGGAAGCUGUAUCCUCUCUCAGACAGAGAUGGCCUGCUUGCUCCAAGCAUCAUGCUGGGAAGUGCUGAGCAGCCAUGGACCACAUUUCCCACACAGUCAGGUGCCACCCUGUGCCUGCGUUCCAGCCAAUGGAGAGUUGGUGGAACUGAUGUAAGCCUUUUGUGGACUGGGCCCCUAAAAGCCUCCCGCAUAGAAAUACAUCAUGUUUUUUGUUCCUUCUGGCUGGCCAGAAUAGAAGGCAACCCCAGGAUAACCUUGAAGCCAAGUGUUGAAGAAAGCAAAGCCUUGUCAAUUCUGGGUCCCUGAAAGACCCAGAUAGAUUGGAGCCUGCUUAUUAUUCCCAUAUCCACUACUGUAAUGAGAACAAGAAUAAAUUCCUGUUGUGUAUGAGCUACCAUCCGCUUUGGGGUCUAUUUGUUACAGCAGUUAGUCUACCAUACCACUACUGCAUCCCAGGAUGCUUUGGCCCAGUCUUACUCUAACAAACUGGGUGCUGCCAACACAUGGGGCUUUGUGGGCCAUAUGGUCUCUAUGGCAACCACUCAACUUUACCAUUGCAGAGGAAAGCAGUCUCAGACAAUACUUAAAUGAAUGGCUGUGGCAGUGCUUCAAUAAAGCUUUACUUACAGAAACAGGCAGCUGGUAAGAUUUGUUCCAGGUGGCUGCCAGGUCUCUGCUGUAUCCCUUUACCCUGUUUUAUUUUCUUUCACAGAACUUACUGCUACAUGAUGUAUUCUAUAUUGAAGCUCCCUGAGAAAAGAGAUGUUUUGUGUCUCAUUUAUCAACAUAUCCCCCGCAUGCAGAAUAAUGACUAGCUCAUAACAGACCUUUGAUAAACAUUUGUUGAAUAAAUGAUCAUAAGGUUUUGGUGAAAUCGGUUCAUUCAUCCACUGCUGCUAUAAUUGUUAAUUUUAGUAUUUUAUUUCUGCAAAACAAUGUGGCAGAACUUAUUGAAAAUGGUAUUCAUUAAUUUUAACUUUUUCACUUCUAGGAAAUAACCAGGAAUGCAAAGAGCUUAUCACCUCAUUAUUUACAACAGUGAAAAUGGAAAAAGUAUAUGUUCAUGUAUAUGAAAACCUCACGUGCAGAUCAUGCACUAGAUCAUGCAUACAUGGCCCUGGGUCUUCAUGGAGGCCUAGGCCCUGCACCCAGCUCAGGUCCUAGCUGUACAGCUCUCAGAGUCAGAGUAGGAAACCCACUUGCUUCCUCUGAGAUGAGCCAUUUGUGAGACUGGCAUUUUGUACUCAUUCAUACUUGUGGUCAAUGUACCGUGUAUUUUUUGAGUGCUAGCUAUGGGCCAGGCCCUUUUCUAGCUGGAGGAUAACAGCAAUUAUAAGACUGGCAAGAUACCUAGGUAUAUACUGGAGCUUUUUUUCCUACUGGAAGAAGAGAGUAAAAAGUAAGACAAUUUCAUGUCAUAAUAAGUGCUAGGGAAGCUGGGAUGGGGGAGCUCCUACUUUGGUAGGGUCUGGGAGUACUCCCCAGAGAGCUAAUGGGGAGCUGAGAGGGAACCCACUGCCCACGUAUGGGGAUCUGGGAGAAGUACACCCCAUAGUGAGUGGGGGUUGGAGAGAAGACAGUAUGGGGUGAGUGGGUGAAAGAUUGGUCAAAGGCAGGGCAGAGCCCAGAUCUACAGCACCUUGUGGGUUGUGGCUGAGAGUUUGGAUUUUAUUCUGAGAGCAGUGGGAAACCACUGAAGGCCUUUAAGCAAGGCAAUCAAAACAUGACCUGAUUGAUAUUUGCAGAGGUGUGUUGAGAAUGGAUUGUAGAGCUGGAAAGCAAUCAGGGAGACCAUAAGGAGCUGUUACAAGUUCAUGGUGAGUCUCCCUUCUUUUUUGGGGGUCUUAACAGAAAGAGUUGAGGAUUGGGGGUUGCAAGAUCACAUCAACUAGAAAGAGAUUCCAGGGAUGAGUGUGAGUCUGAGACACACGAUAACCCUCUUCCUUCCACACCAGCAUCCUGCUGUCCUCUAUCUCAACAAAUGGCUCCACACAGCCACCUCGGCCAGAAAACUGGCUUGCCAGAUAUCUUCCGUUACCUCUCCAGAGCCUCUCUGUCUUUAUCCUCUUCUGCAUCCAGGUGGGUGCUAUAUGGACCACACCAAAGGACUCCCUUGCUUUCUGGCUUCUGGGAGGGGUCAGCCAAUGGGGAGUCCUAUAAAGAAAUAAGAAGAAGGGAGGAGAGUGAGAACUGGAUAUUUUUCCCGCAGGCUCAUGCUGCUGGUUUGCCUCUCUUUGGCUGUGUUGUUCAACCAGAGGUCACUGUUUCUCUCAUGGCAGCCCUUGUUACACAACGCCGUCUUUCUAGGUCAAGUAACUGCUGCUUUCGCUUGUGCCUUCAGGCCUAUGGGUGGUAUAAGCUCCACCUCUGGGGACUGCUUGAUCUCUGUGGCUCCCCUACACCCUGUCCACACCUCUCUCAACAAUGCCUUUAUUAAUCCUCUUGAUGUUCUAAUUUGAUUUUCUGUUUUAGGUCCUGUCUGAUAUAUGUGAGCAUCAUCCCUGAUUCUUCUCUCAUCAUUUUUCUUUCGCUAAUCUAUCACCAAAGUAUAAAUAAAAUUUUUUUGUCUUUUUAUUCCAAUCUCAGAACUAGUGUCCUAACUCAGGCCAUUAUCAUCUUUUACUGGGAUUUCUGAAAAAGUUUUCUAACUAGUCUCCUUGCCUUCAAUCUUGUCUUCGUUCAGAAAUUGUUUCCAUUGUUGCUAACAGAUCUUUCUAAGAUGAAAACCUGGACUGGGCACGGUGGCUUAGGUCUGUAAUCCCAGUGCUUUGGGAGGCCGAGGCAGGAGGAUCACUUGAGCCCAGGAGUUUGAGGUUGCGGUGAGUUAUGAUCACUUUGCUGCACUGCAGCCUAGGCAAAAGACUGGGGCCCUAUCUCAAAUAAAUAAAUAAAUAAAUAAAUAAAUAAAUAAAUAAAUAAGUCAAAUGAAAGCCUGAUCAUAUUUCUCUGUUUAAAACCUUUGAAUGGUUCCUCAUUGCUCUUAAAUAAAAUUCAAACCCCUAAGUGAGGAUUUCUAGGACUUGUACUACCUGGUCUCUGCUUGUAUCCUGGCUUAUUACUUCCCAUCUCAUACAUUUUGACCUAGCCCCUUAAACUGCUUACAGGCCUCAAAACUUCUGUGCCUUCUCUUACCCCUGGGCCUUGUUUAACUUGCAACCAGGAAGUGCCAAGGCAAAGAAGACAGUGCUAAGUCUGUGGCCAAUGCACAAGAGGCUUUUGCCACCCAGGGAGGCUGUAUUGCUUUUGAAUAAACUCAUCUUUCAAAUUAGAACUGCCAUUUUCAGCUUAGGUGCAGCCCUCACUCUAAAGAUAGUCAUCUUGGGUGAUCUCACAUCCUGACAUUCACAGACUUCUGUAACACUCAAAAGUUAUUGGACAGAAUUUCUUCAAGGAAACAGUGAGACCCUCUAGACCUACACUGUUCGAUACAGCAGCCACUAGCCACAUGUGAGCACUGAGCACUUGAAAUGUGGUUAGUGUAGUUUAAGAUGUGCUGUAAAUGUAAAAUACCAUUAUGAUUUGAACAUGUUCACAAAGUUCGUGUGGUAGCAAUUUAAUCCCCAGUGCAACAGUGUUGGGAGAUGGGGCUAAUAAGAAAUGAUUGUCGUGACAACUCUGCCCUCAUGAAUGGAGCAAUGUCAUUAUCACAGGAGUGAGUUUGUUAUGAAAGUUUGGCCCUCUCCUGUCUCUCACCCUCUCUCAUCUUUCCACCUUUUGUCGUGGGAUGACACAGCAUGAAGGCCCUUGCCAGAUGCUGGUGCCAUCCUUUUGGAUUUCCCAGACUCUAAAACUGUGAGCCAAAUAAAUUUCUGUUUAUUAUAAAUUAUCUAGUCUGUCAUAUUCUGUUACAGAAAUAUAAAAUGGACUAAGACAAAUCCACACUGGAUUUUGAAGAUUUAGAAUGAAAAAAAUGUAAAUAUCUCAUUAAUAAUGUUUAAAUUGAUCACAUGUUGAAAUAAUAUUUUGAUAGGUUAAAUAAACAUAUUGUUAAAUUA
Homo sapiens (human) is the source of this 16219-nucleotide long non-coding RNA. RefSeq lists it as uncharacterized. NCBI's taxonomy places the organism in Eukaryota, Metazoa, Chordata, Mammalia, Primates, Hominidae. The record is from RefSeq and is a predicted model, not a curated record. The transcript has 2 exons.